GCGGCAAUAGCUCAAAUUUGAAAUCUGGCUUCGGCCCGAGUUGUAAUUUGUAGAGGAUGCUUCGGCUUACGCACCGGUCUAAGUUCCUUGGAACAGGACGUCACAGAGGGUGAGAAUCCCGUUUGUGGCCGGUGCUUUCGCCAUGUGAAGCUCCUUCGACGAGUCGAGUUGUUUGGGAAUGCAGCUCUAAAUGGGAGGUAAAUUUCUUCUAAAGCUAAAUACCGGCCAGAGACCGAUAGCGCACAAGUAGAGUGAUCGAAAGAUGAAAAGCACUUUGGAAAGAGAGUUAAAAAGUACGUGAAAUUGUUGAAAGGGAAGCGCUUGCGACCAGACUUGCCCGCGGAUGCUCAACCGGUCCUUCGGCCGGUGCACUCUUCCGCGGUCAGGCCAGCAUCAGUUCGGGCGGUCGGAUAAAGGCCUUGGGAAUGUGGCUCUCUUCGGGGAGUGUUAUAGCCCUUGGUGUAAUACGGCCUGCCUGGACUGAGGCCCGCGCUUCUGCUAGGAUGCUGGCGUAAUGGUCGUAAGCGGCCCGUCUUG
Molecule: ribosomal RNA, 537 nt
Filed under: Helicosporium lumbricoides
Lineage: Eukaryota; Fungi; Ascomycota; Dothideomycetes; Tubeufiales; Tubeufiaceae
Description: eukaryotic LSU rRNA
Rfam family: Eukaryotic large subunit ribosomal RNA
Source: RNAcentral